RNAcentral lists this ribosomal RNA (441 nucleotides) under uncultured bacterium. RNAcentral describes it as "partial 16S ribosomal RNA". It matches the Rfam family "Bacterial small subunit ribosomal RNA", at positions 338 to 795 of the family's 1533-position model. The record is from RNAcentral.
CCUACGGGAGGCAGCAGUGGGGGAUAUUGCACAAUGGGGGGAACCCUGAUGCAGCGACGCCGCGUGGGUGAAGGAGUGCUUCGGCAUGUAAAGCCCUAUCGGCAGGGAAGAAGCAAGACGGUACCUGACUAAGAAGCCCCGGCUAACUACGUGCCAGCAGCUGCGGUAAUACGUAGGGGGCGAGCGUUAUCCGGAUUCACUGGGGGGAAAGGGAGCGUAGACGGCCAUGCAAGCCAGGGGUGAAAGCCCGGGGCCCAACCCCGGGACUGCCCUUGGAACUGCAUGGCUGGAGUGCGGGAGGGGCAGGCGGAAUGCCUAGUGUAGCGGUGAAAUGCGUAGAUAUUAGGAGGAACACCAGUGGCGAAGGCGGCCUACUGGACGGUGACUGACGCUGAGGCUCGAAAGCGUGGGGAGCAAACAGGAUUAGAUACCCCUGUAGUC